This 70-nucleotide non-coding RNA is filed under the name uncultured Ruminococcus sp. RNAcentral describes it as "Fluoride riboswitch". It matches the Rfam family "Fluoride riboswitch aptamer (crcB RNA motif)", at positions 5 to 61 of the family's 64-position model. The record is from RNAcentral. Lineage: Bacteria; Bacillati; Bacillota; Clostridia; Eubacteriales; Oscillospiraceae.
UAAACGGAAAUGAUGUUCUUCCGUAGCAUUAUUGCUAAAACCGCUUAUUAAAGCUGAUGACUUCUGCGUU